This 259-nucleotide ribosomal RNA is filed under the name uncultured Anaplasma sp. RNAcentral describes it as "partial 16S ribosomal RNA". It matches the Rfam family "Bacterial small subunit ribosomal RNA", at positions 515 to 773 of the family's 1533-position model. Lineage: Bacteria; Pseudomonadati; Pseudomonadota; Alphaproteobacteria; Rickettsiales; Anaplasmataceae. The record is from RNAcentral.
CCGCGGUAAUACGGAGGGGGCAAGCGUUGUUCGGAAUUAUUGGGCGUAAAGGGCAUGUAGGCGGUUUGGUAAGUUAAAGGUGAAAUACCAGGGCUUAACCCUGGGGCUGCUUUUAAUACUGCAGGACUAGAGUCCGGAAGAGGAUAGCGGAAUUCCUAGUGUAGAGGUGAAAUUCGUAGAUAUUAGGAGGAACACCAGUGGCGAAGGCGGCUGUCUGGUCCGGUACUGACGCUGAGGUGCGAAAGCGUGGGGAGCAAAC